Long non-coding RNA from Helianthus annuus (common sunflower), 1227 nucleotides. RefSeq lists it as uncharacterized. The transcript has 4 exons. Lineage: Eukaryota; Viridiplantae; Streptophyta; Magnoliopsida; Asterales; Asteraceae. The record is from RefSeq and is a predicted model, not a curated record.
CUCCUUUUAAUCUUUUAUACGUUCUGGAAGGUGGUGGCGAUACAGUGGCGUUUUCGUCGAUAGUGGUGGGAGGUUAUCGAAGUUUAAUGACAGUAUUAAUGGUUUGCUUCACACAACUGCCGCCGGUAAGCCCUUCUCCUCUACUCGCCGCUGCUGUUGUUUGAGUCGGACACCGGCGCCGCCUCCGUUCUACACCCUUUCGUCGCUUAACACACACUGGCGCCACAAAAUUUCUGAAAUCUGUGGGUUUUAUGACAUCUGCCAUAGCAGCUCUUCUCCAAGACUAAUAAGGGAAGACAAUAAUGGUGGGCAAUAUCAAUGGUGUGGUCUCUUCCUACCUUCACCUCUUCAAAGCUUCCCUAGGUCGACUGAAAUUUUGGAUUACAUAUAUCCAGGUAUGGCAUUUGCGAUUGUGAAUAUGGAUUAAGCUAGUAGGGGAUUCAAGUUACCGAAUGAUUGUGUAAUUUGCCCAAAGUUGUGUUCACCCCUUUCCAUGUAAGGUUAUUAUCCAUUGAAUUGAUUUACACAUUAAUUAUCUAUUUGGAACACACAAUAUACAAUUUAGUGAGCUUUGUUGAAUUUGGGGGCAUUCAUUAUUGGUUUUAGUGUUGAUUAUAACUUGAAAUUAAGGGGGAGCGGGGCACCCUCGGUGACCCCGUGCGGGGACCAAUUUUGCCGAGCGGGGCGGUGCCGUCAUCCAAGCGGGGAGCCAAAUCGGGGACCAAUUUCGGGGAGGAGGCACCGAAGAAGGAAGGAGAGAGAAGUUAGACGGAGCGUUAUUUAUAUGGAUGAUGUGUUACUCUUGGAAAGUGAGGAGCAAGGAUCGUCAUAUUGUUAUUAUAUACGACACAUCAACGUAACCCGUCCACCGGACGGGUAUUAAACUAGUUGUUUUUUAUUCACCUCUAGUUUACUCUUCGAAAAAAAAAAGGUUGGCGACUAAUUAACAAAGAAAUAAAGAAAGUGGCUUUCAAUUCAUUUUAUAUUAUUUUCUUUUACGGCUGGUAAUUAUUUGCAUGUUCGAUGUUCGAUGGGUUGUCAACAUAUACCUUUUUACAUUUUUAUAAAAAGAAAUCCCAUCGGAUUAAUAAACAUAAUUACUUCUAGUAACUAUGAAAUUACCUCACUAAUUAAAGCUCUUGCAAGACACUCCCCUCCUAUUUCUGAAUACUAAAAUCACUGUUUUAAACUCCUAAGCAAUCCCUAGUUAAAGGAUAUACUUUGUAA